GAAGGAGAUGUCAAAGAUGAAUAGGAGAUUUCUAUUUGGUAGCCAAGGAUGACUUGCCUACUUCUUUGCGAAGGAAAAUGGUCACGGUGUCAUGUUUGAAAGUGAAUAUACAUUUUUAAGAGUAUAUCAAUUAGUGACCAUUUUGCGUAUAAAAAGAUAUUAGGCAGUCUCCUUGGCUAUCCUUAUAUGUUCUUCUUUCUCAUCUCAGACAUUUACCUUC
RNAcentral lists this microRNA precursor (220 nucleotides) under Brassica napus (rape). Lineage: Eukaryota; Viridiplantae; Streptophyta; Magnoliopsida; Brassicales; Brassicaceae. The record is from RNAcentral.